Molecule: ribosomal RNA, 440 nt
Filed under: uncultured bacterium
Lineage: Bacteria
Description: partial 16S ribosomal RNA
Rfam family: Bacterial small subunit ribosomal RNA
Source: RNAcentral
CCUACGGGUGGCAGCAGUGAGGAAUAUUGCACAAUGGGGGAAACCCUGAUGCAGCGACGCCGCGUGCGUGAUGACGUAUUUCGGUAUUUAAAGCUCUAUCUGCACGGAGGUUAAUGACGGUACCUGUCUAAGAAGCUCAGGCUAAAUACGUGCCAGCAGCCGCAGUAAUACGUAGGCAGCCAGCGUUAUCCGGAUUUACUGGGUGUAAGGGGAGCGCAGGCGGCAGGGCAAGUCUGAUGUGAAAGGCCGGGGCUCAACCCCGGGACUGCAUUGGAAACUGUCCGGCUAGAGUGCAGGAGGGGUAAGUGGAAUGCCUAGUGUAGCGGUGAAAUGCGUAGAUAUUAGGAGGAACACCGGCGGCGAAGGCGGCUUGCUGAACCGAGACUGACGCUGAUGCACGAAAGCGUGGGGAUCAAACAGGAUUAGAUACCCUUGUAGUC